RNAcentral lists this ribosomal RNA (121 nucleotides) under Salvator merianae (Argentine black and white tegu). Lineage: Eukaryota; Metazoa; Chordata; Lepidosauria; Squamata; Teiidae. The record is from RNAcentral.
UGCUUUCAACUCAAUGUUUAGGUUGCCAUUGCCAAUCUUAUCUGAUCUCAGAAGCUAAGCAGGGUUGGACCUAAUCAGUAUUUGGCUGGGAGACUGAGCUAUAGACUGGAUUGGAAAGUAA